AUGCAAUUCAUUUAUGUAUAUCCGGGUUGGGAAGGAUCUGCGGCUGAUGGGAGGGUGCUUCGAGAUGCUUUAUCAAGAUCAAAUGGCCUUAAGGUUCCUCGGGGGUGCUAUUAUCUAGUUGAUGCUGGGUACAAGAACUGUGAAGGGUUUCUUGCUCCAUACGGAGGGCAACGGUAUCAUCUAAAUGAUUGGAAAAACCCACCAACAAAAAAAGAGGAAUUGUUUAACAUGAUGCAUUCAUCAGCAAGAAAUGUGAUUGAGAGGACUUUUGGAUUGCUCAAGAUGCGAUGGGAUAUCAUUAGAAAUCCCUCUUAUUAUCCUUUUGAUACACAAGUUGAUAUAAUUCUGGCAUGCUGCUAUCUUCACAAUCUGAUACGACAACAAAUGCGGGUAGAUCCCUGUGAACAAUAUCUAGAUGAAUACAUGCUACGUCUUCAACAGCAGCAAGUAAAUGAGGAUGUCAUUCUGUCCACCGAAACAUCAUCCGAGUGGACUGAGAAAAGAGACAAGUUAGCUGAUGAAAUGUGGAAAGCUUGGAUAGCCAAAAGACAAGAUCGUUGA
This 561-nucleotide ribosomal RNA is filed under the name Triticum aestivum (bread wheat). Its description in RNAcentral is "partial small subunit ribosomal RNA". Lineage: Eukaryota; Viridiplantae; Streptophyta; Magnoliopsida; Poales; Poaceae. The record is from RNAcentral.